UUAUUUUCUGACUGAAGACCUCCCCUCCCCUAUCACCAGCAAGUCCUCAGUCAGUUGACCACUUUUGUUUCCCAGAAGGAGCACUUCUGGUUUGGGUUUUGACUGAAGUUAUGUUGUGGAAAGUGACAGAGAAUGAUUGUGGCUAGCUCCAGUAAACAGGGAGCUGUAUUGGAUGGAUUCUGCAGUAGCUCUCAGAACCGGGGAUGGAGCUAACCAACCCGGCCUUGGAAAGGCCAGGAAGCUGGGCAGCUCUGGGGGCCUCAGCGACUGGAGUUUAUGGGGGCUGCCAUUAAGCACCUGUAGUAGUGCCUGAUCCACAACAGGUACUCAGGACAUGUUUGCUGAAUAAAUGAAUGUGGAAUCCAAAAGUGCCCUCAAACCCACUCGUAUGUUGGUCCAAGGAAGGUUAGCCCUGAGCUAACUACUGCCAGUCCUCCUCUUUUUGCCGAGGAAGCCCGGCCCUGAGCUGACAUCCGUGCCCAUCUUCCUCUACUUUAUACGUGGGACGCCUACCACAGCACGGUGUGCCAAGCGGUGCCAUGUCCGCACCCGGGAUCUGCACCGGCGAACCCAGGCCGCUGAGAAGGGGAACGUGCGAACUUAACCGCUGCGCCACUGGGCCAGCCCAAAAACUGGGUUUUUGAUGGUUGCUGUGACAAAAAGCAAAAACCACACAAAAGUCAAUGUGGAACAGGAAAUGACCGUGGCACUGUAAGCUGAUUCCAAGUUUUGAGAACUUAUGCAGAGCUCAACAGGUGGACACAUUCCAUUAUUAAGUAAUUGAGGUUAAGUAUGAC
This 797-nucleotide long non-coding RNA is filed under the name Equus asinus (donkey). Its description in RNAcentral is "lncRNA (ENSEASG00005025634.1)". Lineage: Eukaryota; Metazoa; Chordata; Mammalia; Perissodactyla; Equidae. The record is from RNAcentral.